This is a long non-coding RNA of Solanum tuberosum (potato), 689 nucleotides long. RefSeq lists it as uncharacterized. The record is from RefSeq and is a predicted model, not a curated record. NCBI's taxonomy places the organism in Eukaryota, Viridiplantae, Streptophyta, Magnoliopsida, Solanales, Solanaceae. The transcript is spliced from 3 exons.
CACAUAUGCAGGAUUUUCUCUUUUUAUUUUUCUUGAAGAAAAUUAAAAUAAAAUUAUAGGGCAUCACGUGCUUUCCAUGUGACGCCGGUCGGCGAGAGCCGGAAGGACGAGAAGACGAUGAAAUGAGUGUUGAAAGACUCCAUCUCCGUUCUCUCCUCAGUCCCUGCGGCUGCCAGAUUCAUCAAUGAAGAAAAUUCCUCAAUUCCACAGUCCCAAUUUACGUAAUUGCGUGCGUCGACCUCUGAAAUCAAGUGCCAUUUAAAACCUUCUCUUGUAUCAGCUGAUAGAACUUUCUCCAUUGGUUUAUAUUGUGGUAAAGUAUCCCCUGAAUUUGAGGUUUUAACAAGAUGGUUCACGUGGAUGCUGGCAAGUUCUUUUAGUGUAACAGGAGCUCCAAAGCUGUAAGUUGUAACUCAUGGAUGUUUGAUUCCCUUCAGUGUGGUUUAUUCCGAGAUAACUGAAGCGAUGCAAUUUUCUAUGAUUGAUGGAAGUGGAAGUUCAACAAAUGUGGGAGGCUUAGCUACCUGGUGUAGGGGUGUGAUACCAUGUUUAAGUCAGCUAAGCUACUAUAAUUCCACAUUUAAUGCAUUCAUCCUGAAGAGCAUUAUGAAGAAACGAGCAAAAGAAUAAAGGUGAAUCAAAUAAAGCAUUGGCCUUUCUGCAUAAGGAAAUUCUAGGAUGCAUUCGAA